GGAUUCAUGGUUACUCCCACAAAAACGUUACUGGGAACGCUGAACAAAAUGAGCGAGAGGUAGGCAGUGUCGUCCUCACCGUGACCGAGGUCC
This is a small nucleolar RNA of Jaculus jaculus (lesser Egyptian jerboa), 93 nucleotides long. Its record names the gene SNORD116. It matches the Rfam family "Small nucleolar RNA SNORD116". From Rfam's summary of the family: HBII-85 is a member of the C/D class of snoRNAs, which contain the C (UGAUGA) and D (CUGA) box motifs. HBII-85 is encoded in a tandemly repeated array with another C/D snoRNA, HBII-52, in the Prader-Willi syndrome (PWS) region of chromosome 15. NCBI's taxonomy places the organism in Eukaryota, Metazoa, Chordata, Mammalia, Rodentia, Dipodidae. The record is from Ensembl.